GAAACGCUUGGCGGGGAAGUGCUGUUGGAGCCGCUGUGGUUGCUGUCCGCGGAGUGGAAGCGCGUGCCUUUGUUUGUGUCCCUGGCCAUGGCGCUGCAGCUCUCCCGGGAGCAGGGAAUCACCCUGCGCGGGAGCGCCGAAAUCGUGGCCGAGUUCUUCUCAUUCGGCAUCAACAGCAUUUUAUAUCAGCGUGGCAUAUAUCCAUCUGAAACCUUUACUCGAGUGCAGAAAUAUGGACUCACCUUGCUUGUAACUACUGAUCUUGAGCUCAUAAAAUACCUAAAUAAUGUGGUGGAACAACUGAAAGGUAUUUAAUCAUUGGAAACAAUUUGAGUGCAGAUUUUCUAGCAAUCUAAGUAGUCAUUCUUCCUCUCUGCACAUAGGAGUGUACUGACAUCUCAAAUAUAUUUUCAAUUGAGAGGAAGAAAAUAAUAUAUAAAAUGGAAGAAAUUCACUCUUCCCCCACUACGUUGUGAGUGGGCUGAAUAUUUUGAUGUUAGAAAUCUGAUAUGGCUAAAAA
RNAcentral lists this small RNA (520 nucleotides) under Pongo abelii (Sumatran orangutan). RNAcentral describes it as "retained intron". The record is from RNAcentral. Lineage: Eukaryota; Metazoa; Chordata; Mammalia; Primates; Hominidae.